RNAcentral lists this long non-coding RNA (1026 nucleotides) under Oryctolagus cuniculus (rabbit). RNAcentral describes it as "lncRNA (ENSOCUG00000033774.1)". The record is from RNAcentral. Lineage: Eukaryota; Metazoa; Chordata; Mammalia; Lagomorpha; Leporidae.
AUGCCCCUGUGCUUGGACUCAGACGGCGGCUUGGAUGCCUGUGGACAGAGCUCUGUGGGUCCCAGUGACGUCACCCUCAGCCGCUCGGCUCAAGAGGCUGCCCCUCUGUUUGUUUUUACUAGAAGUCGGCCUCUGAAGCUGCGGUUUACAAACAGUCUUCCUGAGCACGGAGCACUGUUUAUCAAGCAGAACCUGACAGCUACGCGGCUCCGGGCAGGAAACCGAAGCAGAGCUGUGCUGACAGACCCCAGCGCUCCGCACCAGCACCCCAGGGAGCCCCUCCACUGCACUGCCUUGGCGCCGGGAAGAGAACACCCCUGGGGACGGCUCUUGGGCUUCCUGUCUGGCCUGGACUCCAGAGCCCCAGGGCCCUGCUCCGCUGGUCAGCUCACAGCUUCACCAGCGCCGAGAGGGCCGGAGGCCCACACACCGUGCUUUGCCACCUGCACACCAAGCUCCAGAGACCCCAGCCAGUGCCCCAGGGCCUCUGCGUCCGCACAGCCGCCAGGGCCCGACACUCGCGCAAGGAGCCAGGCCACCAAACCAGCAGAAACCAAUGAUGUGCACAGAAUUCUAGAGAAAAGGCCACCCCCACGGUGGUGGGCACAUGGCUGCGUGCUCGGAGGUGCCAGCACAGCUGCCUUGCACAUGGCAUCUCCCAAAGAGAGCAAAGACUGGGGCAGGGGGAGGUGUACCCCGCAGGCCAGCAGCCUCUCCCCUGCAGCUCCAGACACAGAUGUCGCUGUGGGAACGCGGGGGCAGUGGGGAUGUGUUCGGGGUGGUCCGGGGAGCCCAGCCAGGAGGGAGGGGCUGGAGUCAGCCCACAGAAAGGCCUGCGAGACUGCAGCAGCGUGCGUCCCCCAGGCAGGGCCUGGAAGAGUCCCAGGCCGCCUUCCGGAAACACGGCUCCCCGGAGGGUCCCCAGAGAACCAUCUGGCUGCAGCGGGAAGACGCCUCCUGGCCAGCUCCAACUCCCAAGGUUCCCGGAUGCUGCUCCCUCCACCGGAGGAGGCCGUCCUGCCCUGA